Molecule: ribosomal RNA, 921 nt
Filed under: uncultured Halobacteria archaeon
Lineage: Archaea; Methanobacteriati; Methanobacteriota; Halobacteria
Description: bacterial SSU rRNA
Rfam family: Archaeal small subunit ribosomal RNA
Source: RNAcentral
GACUCCGAGUGCGAGGGCAUAUAGCCCUCGCUUUUCUGUACCGUAAGGUGGUACAAGAAUAAGGACUGGGCAAGACCGGUGCCAGCCGCCGCGGUAAUACCGGCAGUCCAAGUGAUGGCCGAUAUUAUUGGGCCUAAAGCGUCCGUAGCCUGCUGUGUAAGUCCAUUGGGAAAUCGACCAGCUCAACUGGUCGACGUCCGGUGGAAACUACACAGCUUGGGGCCGAGAGACUCAACGGGUACGUCCGGGGUAGGAGUGAAAUCCUGUAAUCCUGGACGGACCACCAAUGGGGAAACCACGUUGAGAGACCGGACCCGACGGUGAGGGACGAAAGCCAGGGUCUCGAACCGGAUUAGAUACCCGGGUAGUCCUGGCUGUAAACAAUGCUCGCUAGGUAUGUCACGCGCCAUGAGCACGUGAUGUGCCGUAGUGAAGACGAUAAGCGAGCCGCCUGGGAAGUACGUCCGCGAGGAUGAAACUUAAAGGAAUUGGCGGGGGAGCACCACAACCGGAGGAGCCUGCGGUUUAAUUGGACUCUACGCCGGACAUCUCACCGGUCCCGACAGUAGUAAUGACAGUCAGGUUGACGACUUUACUCGACGCUACUGAGAGGAGGUGCAUGGCCGCCGUCAGCUCGUACCGUGAGGCGUCCUGUUAAGUCAGGCAACGAGCGAGACCCACACUUCUAGUUGCCAGCAACACCCUGCGGUGGUUGGGUACACUAGGAGGACUGCCAUUGCUAAAAUGGAGGAAGGAAUGGGCAACGGUAGGUCAGUAUGCCCCGAAUGGACCGGGCAACACGCGGGCUACAAUGGCUCUGACAGUGGGAUGCAACGCCGAGAGGCGACGCUAAUCUCCAAACGGAGUCGUAGUUCGGAUUGCGGGCUGAAACCCGCCCGCAUGAAGCUGGAUUCGGUAGUA